Molecule: ribosomal RNA, 435 nt
Filed under: uncultured bacterium
Lineage: Bacteria
Description: partial 16S ribosomal RNA
Rfam family: Bacterial small subunit ribosomal RNA
Source: RNAcentral
GAUGAACGCUGGCGGUAUGCUUAACACAUGCAAGUCGAACGGACUCUUCGGAGUUAGUGGCGGACGGGUGAGUAACGCGUGAGAAUCUGGCUUUGGGUUCGGGACAACCACUGGAAACGGUGGCUAAUACCGGAUGUGCCGAGAGGUAAAAGAGAAAUUGCCUGAGGAUGAGCUCGCGUCUGAUUAGCUAGUUGGUGAGGUAAAGGCUCACCAAGGCAGCGAUCAGUAGCUGGUCUGAGAGGAUGACCAGCCACACUGGGACUGAGACACGGCCCAGACUCCUACGGGAGGCGGCAGUGGGGAAUUAUACGCAAUGGGCGAAAGAAUGACGAAGCAAUACCGCGUGAGGGAAGAAGGAUGUUGGGUUGUAAACAUCUUUUCUUAGGGAAGAACAAAAUGACGGUACCUAAGGAAUAAGCAUCGGCUAACUCCGUG